RNAcentral lists this ribosomal RNA (324 nucleotides) under uncultured Limnofilidae. RNAcentral's name for it is "partial small subunit ribosomal RNA". The stretch from base 60 to 324 matches the Rfam family "Eukaryotic small subunit ribosomal RNA", at positions 689 to 955 of the family's 1831-position model. The record is from RNAcentral. Lineage: Eukaryota; Cercozoa; Limnofilidae.
GAUGUCUGGUGUGGUGCUCCGGGCCCGCCGCCGUUAGGCGGUGAGUGCUUGUUGUGCGCCUACCAUCCUUCUGGGGAGUUUGUUCUACCCUUAACUGGGCCGGAGCGAGCGACCUAGAUCGUUUACUUUGAAAAAAUUAGAGUGUUUAAAGCAGGCGUUUGUUAUGAAUACAUUAGCAUGGAAUAAUAAGAUAGGACUUUGGUUCUAUUUUGUUGGUUUCUAGGACUGAAGUAAUGAUUGAUAGGGACAGUUGGGGGUGCUAGUAUUUAACGGCCAGAGGUGAAAUUCUUGGAUUCGUUAAAGACUAACUUAUGCGAAAGCAUU